RNAcentral lists this ribosomal RNA (494 nucleotides) under uncultured bacterium. Its description in RNAcentral is "partial 16S ribosomal RNA". It matches the Rfam family "Bacterial small subunit ribosomal RNA", at positions 30 to 507 of the family's 1533-position model. The record is from RNAcentral.
AUUGAACGCUAGCGGCAUGCUUUACACAUGCAAGUCGAACGGCAGCGGGGAGGAGCUUGCUUCUCUGCCGGCGAGUGGCGAACGGGUGAGUAAUACAUCGGAACGUGUCGAGAAGAGGGGGAUAACCACCCGAAAGGGUGGCUAAUACCGCAUAAAUUCUGAGGAAGAAAGCUGGGGACCUAGGAAUAGGCCUAGCGCUUUUUGAGCGGCCGAUGUCGGAUUAGCUAGUUGGUGAGGUAAAGGCUCACCAAGGCGAAGAUCUGUAGCGGGUCUGAGAGGAUGAUCCGCCACACUGGGACUGAGACACGGCCCAGACUCCUACGGGAGGCAGCAGUGGGGAAUUUUGGACAAUGGGGGCAACCCUGAUCCAGCCAUGCCGCGUGUAUGAAGAAGGCCUUAGGGUUGUAAAGUACUUUUGUUAGGGAAGAAAAGUCAGCUGUGAAUAAUGGCUGAUACUGACGGUACCUAAAGAAUAAGCACCGGCUAACUACGUG